This 2254-nucleotide unclassified non-coding RNA is filed under the name Hevea brasiliensis (rubber tree). The record is from RNAcentral. Lineage: Eukaryota; Viridiplantae; Streptophyta; Magnoliopsida; Malpighiales; Euphorbiaceae.
GUGUGUGUGUGUGUGUGUGUUUUCAAACCUUAACGCUCUCUCACCUUUUAUAUGUAUCCAAUAUAAAAAAAAAAAAAAUUCAGUUUACAUGGGCGUAGACUAUUUCUGAAUGAAGCUGGAAAGAAAUGCACACAGAAGUUGCAUUUGGCUAAUAUCUAUAGCAGAAGAGGAGUGUUCAGAAUGAAGGAAAAUGAAUAUCCUCUUACAGCUUUUGUCUUACUCUUGGUAACUUUGUUCCAGAAUUUAGAAUGGCUAAAUGCCUCAACUUUUUGGUCCUUUAUUUGGAAUUACGUUUUGCUUCAUGUUAUAGUUAUGAAGAGAGAAUGUUGUCUGAUCCUACGAAAUCAAAUGGAUGAUCUUAGCCUCAGAUUCAUCAUUCAUCAGACCUUAAGAGAAUGAAUUGUAAUUGAUCACAAAAAGCCCCAAAACUCUUAGUAGAGUUUUUGUUCCACAACACAGUGAUCCAUUUUUCACCUAAUAGCUAGGAUGUUAAGUUUCACCUCACAGUUAUUGUCAUAUUUUGAUAAAAUGGGUCAUAAUGGUGUCUCAAUUCAAUUCUUUUCUUUGAAUUUUUUUUCCUAUCUCGUGUUCAGAUUAGUAAAUUUGGAGGGGUUUGGAUUUUGAGUUCAAGUUACUUGGAUGUGGUUCAAAAGUAAGGGUUUUUUGUGGUGCUUAAUUUGAAUCCACAGAUAAAGAAAAGCCUUGUAUAUUUAUAGAAUAAGGUUUCAGUGUUUUGCUACAGAGAUUAUCCAUUUCUCAUUUUCUAUACCUCGUCAGCUCUUCCUUUCAAUCCUAAAUCUUUGUAUUUGGGCCAUUUAUGUUCAAUCUGCCAACAAUAUGGUAGUAUAAUACUUUUGUUAAACAAUAAGCUGCUUGAAUAAUGACUUAAUUUUUGGACUCCUAUGAACAACUUUCGGCCAAAAAUUAAUGAUUCAUACAUUUUAAUACUGUCAUAGGCAUCUCAUUGAUCUAUAUCUCUCUCUCUCUCUGACAUACACACAGAUGUACACAAGUGCAGAAUUUUCUUAGUAACCUUCACAUGAACAUGAAUGCAAAUUUAAUAUUUCUUGAAAUUUUCGGCAGAUGUGAGUUGGCUGGUUGUUGAUAGAUGAAGGUAAAGUUAUGCUUUUCUGCUAAUUUAUGUAUCUUAAUGUUCUACUUGUCUUUCAUUUAAUAAACCACUUGUAAGAAAUAAUUGAAGAUACCAUCUGUUGUAUAAUUGACCAAAAUCAGAUUGGUAACAUUGGAACUCCUCUGACAGUUAGACAUCCUAUUUUCAAGGUUUAUCAUGGGGUUUUUCUUUUCUCGAACAUAUUAUUACAGAAUUCACACUUACCUGUGUUGUUUUUCUAUUUCCUGUUUGUGCAUUAGUUGAUAUUAACUGUAAACUUCUUAAUUUGCAAAAGUUAUCAAUAUGACUAGCUAAUAUUUUAAUGUGAUGUGUCUGAUGCCUAAUGGCUCCUUAAAUUACUUUGCUGUCAUUUUCUCAGUUUAAGUAGGCUUGACCAACAUACAGUUUUGCAUGUAUUGCUAUUAGAAAAGGCUUGUAGUAACAAUCAUCGAAAACAUUAAAGUCCACGAGUGGCACCAUAUUGCAUGUCUUCAUUGCAAAUAACCUAUUAGAUAUAGGAUAUAAAUUAAUCUAUUUUAGUAUAUCUCAUUGGAGAAGAUAACUUUGGGAUUGUCAACCAACGUCUCCGAAAACGCCCAAAUCCAUGGAUUUUAAUUCGAAAACGAAUCCGCUUCAUCCUUUUGGUGAACUCACCACAUCUUUGUUUAAGCAUUGCAGAUUUUGGGAACCUUACCAGUUUUCUAACAUAUCUACAUCCUGCAUUUUCUUUAACCUUUUUAACAUCUCCUUCUUCUUCUUGAUUUUCCUUGUGCAGGACCUCAACCAAGUUUUCCAAACGCUUUUGCAUCCUUCUCUGUAUGAAUCCUCUGGUGCACUAUUCAAAAACUCUUGUCAGCCAAAAAUGUAUGCAGUCCACCACUUAAACACCCUGUUCUUCCCAACAAAAUAUACAUGAAAAAUAAAAUGCCUUAAUAGAAAUGUUACCUUUAUGUGGUUUUUCACAUAGGCAUAGAAGUUUAACAGACUCCAUACAGUCUUAUCUAGUUUUUUACCUUCAACAUGACGAGAUGAAAUAUCUGAAAUAUGACAGUAAAUUGUCAGUCUGAACAUGCUCAAAAGUUUUGCUUAUAGGUGGAAAAUAAUUCAAAAGUGGGAGAGAAAUUAAAUGCUGCCGCUAAUAUU